This 653-nucleotide long non-coding RNA is filed under the name Homo sapiens (human). RNAcentral's name for it is "non-protein coding lnc-ANGPTL4-2:1". Lineage: Eukaryota; Metazoa; Chordata; Mammalia; Primates; Hominidae. The record is from RNAcentral.
AGCUGUGUCCCUACUCAGAGAGAGGCUGGGGGCUUGGGGGUGGACAGGCCAGACGGUGACCAUCUGAACCUACUCCUCACUGGGGUUUUCCUCCCUCCCUUUCCUGUCCACUGCUGCUGGGAGGGAUUUGCUGUCCUGGCAUCUGGCCCAGCUGACGGGGCCAAGUGUAUGAGUGGCAGCCUGCACGUCAGCCCUUGGGUGUGCAGUUUCAGAUUCCAGAGAAUGAGCUGGCUUGGAGCCCUGCUGAGUCAAUGCCCUUCUCCUUGCCAGUGCUCUGAGCCAACCUGCCCCGAGUUCUUCCUGGCAGGCUGGUUUUCUGUGCCAGCCUCCCCUUCCUGACAGGGUAUAGGGGAAUGGGUAGGGAAGAGGCAGAGGAGAUCGGUGCAAGUUUGAAUGAACACUUAGCCCUGUGGAAUGAAUGUGGUCCAGCCCUUUAGCCUCACUCAGUACUUCCUUUGUCCCAACUCUAUCCCUACCCCAGGCUCAGAAUGUUGGGGUAUCUCCACCUGCCUGAGAACUUCAAACAUACAGGGGCUGGGCUUAGAGGGCAGCAGCACCUUCGUUCAGUGCAUGAGUGAAUGAAUGAAUGAGGGAGAGAAAGAGGAAGGUCUUCCAUGUCUGAAACUUUUUUUUUUUUUUUUGACACACAGUCU